AUUGAACGCUGGCGGCAGGCUUAACACAUGCAAGUCGAGCGGAAACGAUGGGAGCUUGCUCCCAGGCGUCGAGCGGCGGACGGGUGAGUAACACUUAGGAAUCUACCUAGUAGUGGGGGAUAGCUCGGGGAAACUCGAAUUAAUACCGCAUACGUCCUACGGGAGAAAGGGGGCAACUUGUUGCUCUCGCUAUUAGAUGAGCCUAAGUCGGAUUAGCUAGUUGGUGGGGUAAAGGCCUACCAAGGCGACGAUCUGUAGCUGGUCUGAGAGGAUGAUCAGCCACACCGGGACUGAGACACGGCCCGGACUCCUACGGGAGGCAGCAGUGGGGAAUAUUGGACAAUGGGGGCAACCCUGAUCCAGCCAUGCCGCGUGUGUGAAGAAGGCCUUUUGGUUGUAAAGCACUUUAAGCAGUGAAGAAGACCAUAUGGUUAAUACCCAUAUGCGAUGACAUUAGCUGCAGAAUAAGCACCGGCUAACUCUGUGCCAGCAGCCGCGGUAAUACAGAGGGUGCAAGCGCUAAUCGGAAUUACUGGGCGUAAAGCGAGCGUAGGUGGCUUGAUAAGUCAGAUGUGAAAUCCCCGGGCUUAACCUGGGAACUGCAUCUGAUACUGUCAGGCUAGAAUAGGUGAGAGGAAGGUAGAAUUCCAGGUGUAGCGGUGAAAUGCGUAGAGAUCUGGAGGAAUACCGAUGGCGAAGGCAGCCUUCUGGCAUCAUAUUGACACUGAGGUUCGAAAGCGUGGGUAGCAAACAGG
Molecule: ribosomal RNA, 755 nt
Filed under: uncultured bacterium
Lineage: Bacteria
Description: bacterial SSU rRNA
Rfam family: Bacterial small subunit ribosomal RNA
Source: RNAcentral